GGCUGCUGACCUGAGGUGCACGUUGUAGGUCUUGAUGUCCACAGUGAAACUCCUUCCUUCUAUCUCACAGCGGUCACUGGUGGCUUAUUCCGGCUGAACCUGGGGCUUCGGGGCCUGGUCGGGGGCUCUGUCAUUGGAGCGUUACUCGGGGUUCCUGCUGGAGCGUUGAUCUCCGGUUUACAGAGUCUCGCGGGGGAGGAUCUUCGUCAGCACAAGCGCCAGGAACGCCGGCAGCUCAGAGAGCGUCAGCUGCAGGAAUGGACCGAGCGGGUGGCAUACACUGACCUCAUUGUGCAGGAGAUUCGAGAAGCCAGUGAAGAGUCCUCUGAGAAGGAGGUGGAGAAAAUCAAUGAGUUGUUACAACACACCAGAACUGCUGCCCCUGAGCAAUGAGGCGAUUAUGGGCGAUCACAUCUACCCGCUUCCCGUGUGUGACCGAUGCCACACUGCGCCCGUCUGCAUGGCUCUCAGGGAUUCUUACAGUGUGUGGAUCCAAGAGGAGCAGGAGGCAGCAAAUUGACAGGGGCCGGACCAGAACGUCUGACCCUUCUGCCCUCUAGUACUCGGGGUCUUCUGUGUGAGAACUGGACCCAGGAUCAAGACAGGACGGAGCUGGCAGAGCUCUAGGACAAUAAAUGUCUUAAUGUGCU
Bufo gargarizans (Asiatic toad) is the source of this 650-nucleotide long non-coding RNA. RefSeq lists it as uncharacterized. Lineage: Eukaryota; Metazoa; Chordata; Amphibia; Anura; Bufonidae. The transcript has 3 exons. The record is from RefSeq and is a predicted model, not a curated record.